UACAGAGGUCCCAAGCGUUGUUCGGAUUCACUGGGCGUAAAGGGUGCGUAGGUGGUGGGGUAAGUCGGAUGUGAAAGCUCGGAGCUCAACUCCGAAAUGGCAUUGGAAACUACCCUGCUAGAGGAUUGGAGGGGGGACUGGAAUACUUGGUGUAGCAGUGAAAUGCGUAGAUACCAAGUGGAACACCAGUGGCGAAGGCGAGUCCCUGGACAAUAACUGACACUGAGGCACGAAAGCGAGGGGAGCAAACAGG
Molecule: ribosomal RNA, 253 nt
Filed under: uncultured bacterium
Lineage: Bacteria
Description: partial 16S ribosomal RNA
Rfam family: Bacterial small subunit ribosomal RNA
Source: RNAcentral